CAGAAUACAAAACCUACCUGGUUGCUGGGGCGGAGUGGGAGGGCUCAGGAUAAGGUGUGUCAGACGGCGGCUGUGAGAGCAAAGUUCUGUAAUGUUCGUGAAGGUGCUCGCUGUCAGACUCCAGGAAAACGUAGGAGGCUGUGAACAAUGCUUCAGCUUCCUCUUAGAUGAGCAAUAGACGGAGCUCAUUUUAGAGUCAUGGCUAUGGAGUCAUUGUGGUUUAGAGCAUUUCAGAGCUGGGGGUCAGCUGGUUGUCCUGUACACCACACUCCCUAACUAAUGGAGGGAAGAAAUCCACAGAGAAGUGCAGGUGGUUUGUUCCCAGUGUGACAGUUGCUGGAGGAGGCUGCCUGGGCAGAGCAUCAGCACUGUUGGUCCUCCGGGCAGCUGACCUGCUGUUGUCAGCAGGAGUGACUCUGUAGCCAGGCCUUCUGUGCUCGAUCUGAUGGAGAAAACCAAACAGCCUCCUUUACAAACUGAACGUGUUACUUGAGGUGACUGUGUGACAAUCUUUGCGACACACUUCUCAGUUCUAUAAUGUCCCGCAGAUCCCUUUGCAUCUUCUUCACUGGACAGAGCCACUUUCAAUUUCUGACAACACGCCACUAGAGGGAGCCAACAUCACCCAGUUUCCCCAAAGCCCCUCAGAGCCUGCCUACCCUGGGGUUUGUCAUGGCACCUCUGGGUUGGAAGGACCAACCAAAGGUGCUGUGGAAAUCUGUUCUGGGCUGACAGUCUGUACUGCCCUUCCUCUAGGCCUAUUGGUUGCUCUCCCUGGCAGAGAGGAGCAGCCAGCCAUGCUGUUGUGGAUGUCUAGAGAUAACGUGGACAAUGAGCUGCCCCUAGAAAUGUUAUUCCUGUGCA
RNAcentral lists this long non-coding RNA (864 nucleotides) under Marmota monax (woodchuck). Lineage: Eukaryota; Metazoa; Chordata; Mammalia; Rodentia; Sciuridae. The record is from RNAcentral.